This 200-nucleotide ribosomal RNA is filed under the name uncultured bacterium. RNAcentral describes it as "partial 16S ribosomal RNA". It matches the Rfam family "Bacterial small subunit ribosomal RNA", at positions 8 to 206 of the family's 1533-position model. The record is from RNAcentral.
AGAGUUUGAUCAUGGCUCAGGACGAACGCUGGCGGCGUGCCUAACACAUGCAAGUCGCACGGGCUUGGGGGGCAACUCUCAAGUUAGUGGCGAACGGGUGCGUAACACGUGAGCAACUUGCCCUACGGUGGGGGAUAGCCGGUCUAACGGCCGGGUAAUACCGCAUAUGGCGCCGAGGUCGCAUGACCUUGGUGGGAAAG